GCCGAAAUAAGCUCAGUUGGAGAGCGUUAGACUGAAGAUCUAAAGGUCCCUGGUUCAAUCAGUUUCGGCA
Molecule: transfer RNA, 70 nt
Filed under: Trichonephila inaurata madagascariensis
Lineage: Eukaryota; Metazoa; Arthropoda; Arachnida; Araneae; Nephilidae
Rfam family: tRNA
About the family: Transfer RNA (tRNA) molecules are approximately 80 nucleotides in length. Their secondary structure includes four short double-helical elements and three loops (D, anti-codon, and T loops).
Source: Rfam by way of RNAcentral